GUUAAUGUGGCAGAACCCGGCCAUUGCGAAAGGCCUAAGCCCUUCUUAUAGAGGUUCAAAUCCUCUCAUUAACU
RNAcentral lists this transfer RNA (74 nucleotides) under Cheilinus chlorourus (floral wrasse). Its description in RNAcentral is "tRNA-Leu". It matches the Rfam family "tRNA". From Rfam's summary of the family: Transfer RNA (tRNA) molecules are approximately 80 nucleotides in length. Lineage: Eukaryota; Metazoa; Chordata; Actinopteri; Labriformes; Labridae. RNAcentral also lists the same sequence under 1 other name. The record is from RNAcentral.